AAUGAACGUUGGCGGCGUGCCUAACACAUGCAAGUCGAGCGAGAAAGCUCCUUCGGGAGUGAGUAAAGCGGCGGACGGGUGUAUAACACGUAAGAAUCUUCCCUUCAGUGAAGAAUACCCUCGAGAAAUCGAGGCUAAUACUGCAUAAUCCCUACGGGGAAAAGGUGGCUUUAUGCUGCCGCUGAAGGAUGAGCUUGCGGUCUAUUAGCUUGUUGGUGAGGUAAAGGCUCACCAAGGCGAUGAUGGAUAGCCGGCCUGAGAGGGUGUACGGCCACAUUGGGACUGAGACACGGCCCAGACUCCUACGGAGGCAGCAGUGAGGAAUAUUGCGCAAUGGGCGAAAGCCUGACGCAGCGACGCCGCGUGAAGGAUGAAGGUCUUCGGAUUGUAAACUUCUGUUAAGCGGGAAGAAAGUCCAGCCUCUAACAUAGGUUGAGAUGACGGUA
This 446-nucleotide ribosomal RNA is filed under the name uncultured bacterium. RNAcentral describes it as "bacterial SSU rRNA". It matches the Rfam family "Bacterial small subunit ribosomal RNA", at positions 29 to 477 of the family's 1533-position model. The record is from RNAcentral.